RNAcentral lists this non-coding RNA (147 nucleotides) under Lacimicrobium alkaliphilum. RNAcentral's name for it is "MoCo sequence". It matches the Rfam family "Molybdenum/Tungsten riboswitch aptamer (Moco RNA motif)". The record is from Rfam by way of RNAcentral. Lineage: Bacteria; Pseudomonadati; Pseudomonadota; Gammaproteobacteria; Alteromonadales; Alteromonadaceae.
UAAAAAUUUAUUUACCGAGCCUUUACACCUAAACCUGUUGGCAGGGUGUACUGGCCGCAAGCUUUAACUCAGGUUUAAACGCUUGCCAGGGUUGUGCAGGAAACCGCGCCGCCUCCCGACUUGGAAAGGUGAAACAUGCUGGAAGAU